Octopus sinensis (East Asian common octopus) is the source of this 1618-nucleotide long non-coding RNA. RefSeq lists it as uncharacterized. The record is from RefSeq and is a predicted model, not a curated record. Lineage: Eukaryota; Metazoa; Mollusca; Cephalopoda; Octopoda; Octopodidae. The transcript has 2 exons.
AAUAAAUCCAGGCUACGCAUGUGUCAUAUAUAGUAGAACCUCGUUCGCAAGAACAUGCACUGCCUGCUCGUCUAAGCUUCAAACAUCGAUAUAUGAUAAUGGAUUGCCAAGUAGAAGAAACUGAGCAUUUUCAGCGUCUGUUCCUCUUCUAAUCCGAUCAAACUUCCAAGAAUGCAAAAACCAGGCAUUGGUGUUCUGUACGGGGAGAGAGCUUUCACUGAAAGAACUGCACAGAAAAAUUUUACAUGUGUCAAGGGAGCGAAUUUGAACAACACAAAUCUCAUCUUCCGGCCGAUCAUUGCAGUUCACUAAAGAUUGCUUGAACGAGAUCAUUCGCCUGGGUCCAUACCAACCCACUUGGAAAUUAGCACAGCAGAUUGGUACGUCGUGAUGUUAUUGUUGGUAAUCUUCACUCUAUGUGCAAGGUUCAAAUCACUGUACGUGUAUGCCACGUGCUAUGAACAGGAGAAACAUACUCCAGCGCUUCUGUAACCCGUUAAUUUACUCGCUUGACAUCAGGUUACUUGUGGGCAUUAACAUAAGCUUUUAUACUGCUUUGGACUGGUUGUAAAAAUAGUCUCUUUACGACACUAUGAAGUUAAAAAAAAAUGGAUGAGUCCCCAAAAGCUAGGAACAACUUGAACCAAGCCAGAAAUGCAUCCAGGUAAGACAAUAGUCUGUGUUUAGUAGGAUUGAUCCAGAACGAAUUGCUUCAAAACAACCACAUAAUCAAUACCGAGCUACACUUUCUCGAAAGGCAUCUAAAAGACAGUCAGAUAUGUAGUUAGCGAAUGUUCAAACUGUCCCAGAAAUAGUACAGAAAAAUGUUACAACAAUGUUACCGCAGAAAGUUCCCUGAGAGAUGUUGAAGUAGUUGUGAGUUAGAAUUUACCGACUAGCAAUAUGAACAUUAACCAUUGCCGGUCGCAGACUAUGACCAUUUGAAACUCACAUAGUACAUGAUAAUCUAUACCGAUAAAAAUAAUCUAACAUACUGAUAUAGGUCUUACGCCCUUUAUGGAAAGUGACAGAAACGGUCUUCAUCCACAUAGCGGGACUUGCAGAUCUAAACAUUGUGAAGACAUGAAGCAAAGAAAGAAACAUAUAUGUAAAUGUAUUUGUGUAGUUUGUGUGGUGUAGUGUGUGUGUGUGUGUGUGUGUGUGUGUGUGUGUGUGUGUAGAAGAGUAUCAAGGCCUAGCAUUUGAAGUAGAUUAUAUCCUUAGAGUCACAAGAUGGUCAUCGUGACUGGUAUACAAGGAACCGCCUCAAAGAAGACAAAAGCCGGACAUAGAAAACUGGAAUGGCCAGACGUCAUAUAAAGUACACAUCUGAGGGCCAAACUCUGAAAACUGCGUGAAUUUCUUAAAAUGGAGAAUAUUACUGAAAUAUUAUAUUCCUAUUUAACGAAGAAUUCCAGUAUUUCUUUAGGGGAGCAGGGCUCCUGUAAAAAACAUGAGCAAAUAACGCAAAGCAUUUCAUUCUGACACCCUAACAGAAGUACCUAGUCGCCCGCUUGCAACUGAUGAAAGCGAGCAUUAAAGGAAUCAAUCUUCCCAGAUGACAUAAUAUAUGGUGAAACAUCUCUUUGCAAAUAAAUGCCUGGAAUAGGAAUAUAAA